Molecule: ribosomal RNA, 429 nt
Filed under: Chloroflexota bacterium
Lineage: Bacteria; Bacillati; Chloroflexota
Description: Chloroflexi bacterium partial 16S ribosomal RNA
Rfam family: Bacterial small subunit ribosomal RNA
Source: RNAcentral
UGGGGAAUAUUGCACAAUGGGCGCAAGCCUGAUGCAGCCAUGCCGCGUGUGUGAAGAAGGCCUUCGGGUUGUAAAGCACUUUCAGCGGGGAGGAAGGCGAUAAGGUUAAUAACCUCAUCGAUUGACGUUACCCGCAGAAGAAGCACCGGCUAACACCGUGCCAGCAGCCGCGGUAAUACGGAGGGUGCAAGCGUUAAUCGGAAUUACUGGGCGUAAAGCGCACGCAGGCGGUCUGUCAAGUCGGAUGUGAAAUCCCCGGGCUCAACCUGGGAACUGCAUUCGAAACUGGCAGGCUAGAGUCUUGUAGAGGGGGGUAGAAUUCCAGGUGUAGCGGUGAAAUGCGUAGAGAUCUGGAGGAAUACCGGUGGCGAAGGCGGCCCCCUGGACAAAGACUGACGCUCAGGUGCGAAAGCGUGGGGAGCAAACAGG